Molecule: unclassified non-coding RNA, 157 nt
Filed under: uncultured Nectriaceae
Lineage: Eukaryota; Fungi; Ascomycota; Sordariomycetes; Hypocreales; Nectriaceae
Description: sequence contains ITS2
Source: RNAcentral
CAACCCUCAAGCCCCCCGGGCUUGGUGUUGGGGAUCGGCGAUAGUCGCCGUCCCCCAAAUCUAGUGGCGGUCUCGCUGUAGCCUCCAUUGCGUAGUAGCUAACACCUCGCAACUGGAACGCGGCGCGGCCAAGCCGUUAAACCCCCCAACUUCUGAA